UGGGGUUAUAGCUCAGCUGGGAGAGCGCUUGAAUGGCAUUCAAGAGGUCGGCGGUUCGAUCCCGCUUAACUCCACCAU
This 78-nucleotide transfer RNA is filed under the name Campylobacter rectus RM3267. RNAcentral's name for it is "tRNA-Ala". It matches the Rfam family "tRNA". From Rfam's summary of the family: Transfer RNA (tRNA) molecules are approximately 80 nucleotides in length. Their secondary structure includes four short double-helical elements and three loops (D, anti-codon, and T loops). Further hydrogen bonds mediate the characteristic L-shaped molecular structure. tRNAs have two regions of fundamental functional importance: the anti-codon, which is responsible for specific mRNA codon recognition, and the 3' end, to which the tRNAs corresponding amino acid is attached (by aminoacyl-tRNA synthetases). tRNAs cope with the degeneracy of the genetic code in two manners: having more than one tRNA (with a specific anti-codon) for a particular amino acid; and 'wobble' base-pairing, i.e. permitting non-standard base-pairing at the 3rd anti-codon position. Lineage: Bacteria; Pseudomonadati; Campylobacterota; Epsilonproteobacteria; Campylobacterales; Campylobacteraceae. RNAcentral also lists the same sequence under 1 other name. The record is from RNAcentral.